RNAcentral lists this ribosomal RNA (301 nucleotides) under uncultured bacterium. Its description in RNAcentral is "partial 16S ribosomal RNA". It matches the Rfam family "Bacterial small subunit ribosomal RNA", at positions 509 to 807 of the family's 1533-position model. The record is from RNAcentral.
CAGUCGCCGCGGGAAUACGGAGGGUGCAAGCGUUAUCCGGAUUUAUUGGGUUUAAAGGGUCCGUAGGCGGAUCUGUAAGUCAGUGGUGAAAUCUCACAGCUUAACUGUGAAACUGCCAUUGAUACUGCAGGUCUUGAGUAAAUUUGAAGUGGCUGGAAUAAGUAGUGUAGCGGUGAAAUGCAUAGAUAUUACUUAGAACACCAAUUGCGAAGGCAGGUCACUAAGAUUUAACUGACGCUGAUGGACGAAAGCGUGGGGAGCGAACAAGAUUAGAUACCCCUGUAGUCCCUGUCUCUUAUAC